UACAGAGGGUGCAAGCGUUGUUCGGAAUUACUGGGCGUAAAGCGCGUGUAGGCGGUCUGAUAAGUCGGUCGUGAAAUCCCUUGGCUUAACCAAGGAACUGCGAUCGAAACUGCCGGACUAGAGUAUCGGAGGGGGUGGCGGAAUUCCCGGUGUAGAGGUGAAAUUCGUAGAUAUCGGGAGGAACACCUGUGGCGAAGGCGGCCACCUGGAAGAUUACUGACGCUGAGACGCGAAAGCGUGGGGAGCAAACAGG
RNAcentral lists this ribosomal RNA (253 nucleotides) under uncultured bacterium. RNAcentral describes it as "partial 16S ribosomal RNA". It matches the Rfam family "Bacterial small subunit ribosomal RNA", at positions 524 to 776 of the family's 1533-position model. The record is from RNAcentral.